UACGUAGGGGGCGAGCGUUGUCCGGAAUGACUGGGCGUAAAGGGCGUGUAGGCGGCCAUAUAAGUCUGGGGUGAAAGUCCUGCAUUCAAUGUGGGAAUUGCUUUGGAUACUGUAAGGCUUGAGUGCGGAAGAGGUAAGUGGAAUUCCCAGUGUAGCGGUGAAAUGCGUAGAGAUUGGGAGGAACACCAGUGGCAAAGGCGACUUACCGGGCCGUAACUGACGCUGAGGCGCGAAAGCGUGGGGAGCGAAC
Molecule: ribosomal RNA, 250 nt
Filed under: uncultured prokaryote
Description: partial 16S ribosomal RNA
Rfam family: Bacterial small subunit ribosomal RNA
Source: RNAcentral